Molecule: ribosomal RNA, 442 nt
Filed under: uncultured bacterium
Lineage: Bacteria
Description: partial 16S ribosomal RNA
Rfam family: Bacterial small subunit ribosomal RNA
Source: RNAcentral
CCUACGGGGGGCAGCAGUGGGGGAUAUUGCACAAUGGGGGAAACCCUGAUGCAGCGACGCCGCGUGGGCGAAGAAGUAUUUCGGUAUGUAAAGCCCUAUCAGCAGGGAAGAAGAAAUGACGGUACCUGAGUAAGAAGCACCGGCUAAAUACGUGCCAGCAGCCGCGGUAAUACGUAUGGUGCAAGCGUUAUCCGGAUUUACUGGGUGUAAAGGGAGCGUAGACGGCAGCGCAAGUCUGAAGUGAAAUGCCGGGGCUUAACCCCGGAACUGCUUUGGAAACUGUGCAGCUAGAGUGCAGGAGAGGUAAGUGGAAUUCCGAGUGUAGCGGUGAAAUGCGUAGAUAUUAGGAGGAACACCAGUGGCGAAGGCGGCUUACUGGACUGUAACUGACAUUGAGGCUCGAAAGCGUGGGGAGCAAACAGGAUUAGAUACCCGGGUAGUC